Molecule: transfer RNA, 66 nt
Filed under: Testudo horsfieldii (Horsfield's tortoise)
Lineage: Eukaryota; Metazoa; Chordata; Testudines; Testudinidae
Description: tRNA-Cys
Source: RNAcentral
AACUCCGUGGUGAAGUUCACACCAAAUUGCAAAUUUGGAGAUAUACUUUUGUUAGUGUCGGGGUUU